This 547-nucleotide ribosomal RNA is filed under the name uncultured archaeon. Its description in RNAcentral is "bacterial SSU rRNA". It matches the Rfam family "Archaeal small subunit ribosomal RNA", at positions 325 to 876 of the family's 1478-position model. The record is from RNAcentral.
ACGGGGCGCAGCAGGCGCGAAAACUUUACAAUGCGAGCAAUCGUGAUAAGGAAACCCUGAGUGCCUGUCGACGCAGGCUGUUCUGGUGUCUAACACACACCAGGAGAAAGGACGGGGCAAGACCGGUGCCAGCCGCCGCGGUAAUACCGGCUGCUCGAGUGAUAGCCACUUUUACUGGGCUUAAAGCGUUCGUAGCUUGGUCGUUAAGUCUCUGGGGAAAUCUUUUGGCUCAACCAAAAGGCGUCUCAGGGAAACUGGCGACCUAGGAACCGGGAGAGGUAAGACGUACUUCGGGGGUAGGAGUGAAAUCUUGUAAUCCCCGAGGGACGACCGAUGGCGAAGGCAUCUUACCAGAACGGCUUCGACAGUGAGGGACGAAAGCUGGGGGAGCAAACCGGAUUAGAUACCCGGGUAGUCCCAGCCGUAAACGAUGUGCGUUAGGUGUGUCAGCGACCACGAGUCGCUGAGGUGCCGAAGGGAAACCGUGAAACGCACCGCCUGGGAAGUACGGUCGCAAGGCUGAAACUUAAAGGAAUUGGCGGGGGAG